UGAGUUAUUAGAAGCUUGUAAACAAGAGUUCCAUCGCCGUCUUAAGGUUUAUCAUCAGUGGCAAAAUAAAAAUAAGGCAUCGAAGUCGACGGGUCAAAGUGCUGGUGAUCAAAGAGCACCUCAAGAGGUCGUGGAAAAAGGAAAUCCAGCAUUGAAGAAAUCAAAGGAAAAUAUUUUAUAUCUUCAGUUUAUGAUAUAAUUGCGGUAGAAGAUUAUGAAGAUGUUAAGACAAGAUCUUUAAUGUAAUGUUAUUCAGUUGAGUCAAAAGAAAGUUUUGAAAGUCUUUCCACUGUAUGGUGGCCAGAGAUCAGUGCUGCUCGCAUAAGGAAACCAUUUUAAUUUGUUGGACUAAAAAAGGAGCUUCGUCCUGGCAAACAAACGCAUGAACUGAGUAGGUGAAAGCUAAUGAAGGUAAAAAACUUGCAAAAUAUAUUGGUGCAGGUUUUUAAGAGUGCUCAUCAGUUACUAAUGAAGGAAACAAUGAGAUUUUUGA
Dendronephthya gigantea is the source of this 493-nucleotide long non-coding RNA. RefSeq lists it as uncharacterized. Lineage: Eukaryota; Metazoa; Cnidaria; Anthozoa; Malacalcyonacea; Nephtheidae. The record is from RefSeq and is a predicted model, not a curated record. The transcript is spliced from 3 exons.